GAAGGCAUGGGCAAAAACAUACCCUGAGAACAAGCAUGUCAAGUUCCUAGCUGAUGGCUCUGCAACCUACACGCAUGCUCUUGGCCUGGAGCUUGACCUCAAAGAGAGAGGCCUUGGCACUCGUUCAAGGAGGUUUGCUCUUCUGAUUGACGACCUCAAGGUGGUAGCUGCAAAUGUUGAAUCUGGGGGAGAAUUCACCGUGUCCAGUGCUGAUGAUAUGCUUGCGGUUCUCUAGAAAAGAAAAUUAGCAGCAGCAGCUAUCCUUUUAUUUUAUCACUGUGGACAGAACACAUCCUAUCUUAUCUCAAUCUAGUGAGUUAAAAAAUGUUAGAUCAUUNNN
RNAcentral lists this long non-coding RNA (340 nucleotides) under Carica papaya (papaya). RNAcentral's name for it is "long non-coding RNA (CPAP_LNC000931)". Lineage: Eukaryota; Viridiplantae; Streptophyta; Magnoliopsida; Brassicales; Caricaceae. The record is from RNAcentral.